This 439-nucleotide ribosomal RNA is filed under the name uncultured bacterium. Its description in RNAcentral is "partial 16S ribosomal RNA". It matches the Rfam family "Bacterial small subunit ribosomal RNA", at positions 339 to 795 of the family's 1533-position model. The record is from RNAcentral.
CUACGGGUUGCUCCAGUGAGGAAUAUUGCACAAUGGGGGGAACCCUGAUGCAGCAACGCCGCGUGGAGGAUGACGCAUUUCGGUGUGUAAAUUCCUUUUAUAUGUCAAGAAAAUGACGGUAGCAUAUGAAUAAGCACCGGCUAACUCCGUGCCAGCAGCCGCGGUGAUACGGAGGGUGCAAGCGUUACUCGGAAUCACUGGGCGUAAAGGACGCGUAGGCGGGUUGGAAAGUCAGGUGUGAAAUCCUACAGCUUAACUGUAGAACUGCACUUGAAACUUCUAAUCUAGAGUAUGGGAGGGGGAGAUGGAAUUAGUGGUGUAGGGGUAAAAUCCGUAGAUAUCACUAGGAAUACCUAAAGCGAAGGCGAUCUCCUGGAACAUUACUGACGCUAAGGCGUGAAAGCGUGGGGAGCAAACAGGAUUAGAUACCCCAGUAGUC